GGCUCCGGCCCUAUCAGACUGAAGGCGCCCGAUCUCGUCUGAUCUCGGAAGCUAAGCAGGGUCGGGCCAGGUUAGGAUCUUGGAUGGGAGACCACCUGGGAAUCCCGGGUGCUCGAGGCU
This 120-nucleotide ribosomal RNA is filed under the name Bison bison bison. The record is from RNAcentral. Lineage: Eukaryota; Metazoa; Chordata; Mammalia; Artiodactyla; Bovidae.